This 468-nucleotide ribosomal RNA is filed under the name uncultured bacterium. RNAcentral's name for it is "partial 16S ribosomal RNA". It matches the Rfam family "Bacterial small subunit ribosomal RNA", at positions 28 to 507 of the family's 1533-position model. The record is from RNAcentral.
GGCAAACGCUGGCGGCGUGCUUAACACAUGCCAGUCGAACGGAAAGGCCCUGCUUUUGUGGGGUGCUCGAGUGGCGAACGGGUGAGUAACACGUGAGUAACCUGCCCUUGACUUUGGGAUAACUUCAGGAAACUGGGGCUAAUACCGGAUAGGAGCUCCUGCUGCAUGGUGGGGGUUGGAAAGUUUCGGCGGUUGGGGAUGGACUCGCGGCUUAUCAGCUUGUUGGUGGGGUAGUGGCUUACCAAGGCUUUGACGGGUAGCCGGCCUGAGAGGGUGACCGGCCACAUUGGGACUGAGAUACGGCCCAGACUCCUACGGGAGGCAGCAGUGGGGAAUAUUGCACAAUGGGCGGAAGCCUGAUGCAGCAACGCCGCGUGCGGGAUGACGGCCUUCGGGUUGUAAACCGCUUUCGCCUGUGACGAAGCGUGAGUGACGGUAAUGGGUAAAGAAGCACCGGCUAACUACGUG